Molecule: ribosomal RNA, 328 nt
Filed under: uncultured eukaryote
Lineage: Eukaryota
Description: partial 18S ribosomal RNA
Rfam family: Eukaryotic small subunit ribosomal RNA
Source: RNAcentral
CCCUUAGAUGUUCUGGGCUGCACGCGCGCUACACUGAAGCGUUCAACGAGUAUUCACCUUGCCCGGGAGGGUUGGGUAAUCUUUUGAAAACGCUUCGUGAUGGGGAUAGAUUAUUGCAAUUAUUAAUCUUCAACGAGGAAUUCCUAGUAAGCGCGAGUCAUCAGCUCGUGCUGAUUACGUCCCUGCCCUUUGUACACACCGCCCGUCGCUCCUACCGAUUGAAUGGUCCGGUGAAGCGUUCGGACCGUGGCCUUUGGACGGUUCGCCGUCUGUUGGCUGCGGGAAGUUCGUUAAACCUUAUCAUUUAGAGGAAGGAGAAGUCGUAGCA